UACGAGCCGCCACAAGCAUCAUCGUGCGUGCACACGCGUAUAAAGCCCCCACCCCUCUCUCUUGAACAGACGCGCGCAGACGGACGCGUGUUAAGGGAGAAGAGUUAUUGUGCUGCCGAAGCUCACCGUGCCUGCGUCCCCCCCCCUCCCUAUCCCUUCUUAGUGGCCGAGCGCACAGCUGGUGCGACGGGCCGAGCUGUGCGUUCCUACCUCAUUGGUGGUGGUAGUUACGAUCUCUUGCUUGACCCUCUUGCUUCCCUGUCUUGUGCCUCUCCCACGCUUGCUGCCUUCGCAGUUUGUGUGUGUGUGGGAGGGAGUCAUUAUAAACGCAGUGCCUCCCCUCCCCCCUCUCUCCUGCGUGGCAGCGCCUUCACUUGAGCUAGAGGAAGGCCAAGCAAAAGGAAAAAAGAGCAGUGGAAGCCAGAAAAUCAUUGGCUAGAGCACGCGCGUCCUUGUCGGCUGUGCUGGUGGUGGUGCCGGUCGUCGUCGUCGCGGGUCUUGACAAGCUCCGCGAUUUCCUUUUUUUAUUAUUGUUAUGAUUGAUGUUGUUGCGACGUGUAUCCUGCCUUGCUUUUCCUUGCUUGGUGCGCCCCCGUCGGUGUCCUGCCUGGUAAGUCUGCACUGCUGCUGCUUCGCCUUGUACGUACGCUGGUGUUGUGGUUUGUCGCCUGUCACCCGUGGCAAUCAAAACUUUUCUAGAAAGGGGGAGGGGUACAUAUAUAAAGAAGGCGUGGCAGAUUGGCUCUGCUGUGGUGUGCAUCCGAUUCGCCUUCCCUUUUUCUUUUUCAUUGUUGUUGCUGUUACUCUUUUUUUCUGUUCUCGCUUCUACGGCUGCUGCUGCUGCUUUCUCUCCAAGCUGACCAUCUUGUUCUCCUACAUCGCUUCGGGAGGCGCCUGCCGGCCGGCCGGCCUGCCUGCCCUCCUCUCCGACUCGGUGCUGUGAUUUGUUUUUUUUCUUUUCUCUGUCAGUGCUGUGUUGAGGUCUAGAAACUCUCCUCUCCUCCCCUCCCCCUCAACACUCUACCUCAACACGCACGUGUGCACGCAACCUGUGAGUGCGCGGCAUGCCUUCCAACCGACGCAAGAAUAAGCAGCGGUGUAUGCAGGCGUCUCAGGUGGCCUUGCCAGGAGAUCUACCAGAAGCCAGCAAGAUCAGCGGUGGCAGCGGCAGCACCAACGGCGGAAGUGUUGUAUCCAAUGAGCUCGCGGUGUCGCACAAGACAUGCGGGCGGGAGGGGGCAGCGACUAGCGCUGCCUCCUCGCCGAAGCAAAUGAAGCGCACCGCGUCAUCGCUCGCCGGAGGAGAUGCCGACGAGGACAUGACCAACAGCGGCGGCGGCGUCAACGCCAACGGGGUGACGAGCGCCUCGCCUGCGCCUUCGCAUUCCUCCGCGUCGUCGUCCAGCGAAUCAGAUGCGUCUCCAGCAGCGGGUCUUCUGACGGUGACGGGCAUGGCUACUCCAGCGACAGCGACGGAAAAGGACCUGGCGGCUUGCACGUCGAGCGACGGAGCAGGGCUGUUGCUCCUUGACGACGGCGACGAGGACGCAGAGCGCGACGACGCGGUCCUCGCCGAGGCCGUCGCCGCGGCUGCGGCACCUGCUACCGACAACGCGGGGGAGCUUUUCUACGUCGAACUCGACCCCGAAUCGCACGUUAUGACCGGUGUUCUGCCUGAGAUGCAGCGACUGCAUGUGCGGCUGACGCAGCUGGUGCGCGUUCUGCGGCGCCGCGUCGCGCGCCUGUGUGUGCUGCGCGAGCGUGCUCGGCUGAGCGGGGAUGAUGUCAGUGAGGUGGUACCGGCGUCCCCACUUCUACCGAGGCGCCCGUCUCCACUGGCAACCGCUUCUCCCGUGCCAUCCGGUGUGCAUCGCCACAGGGACACCGUGGCCAGCAACGGCAGUAGCAGCAUUCACGGCGGCGUCGCAGCGGCUUCCCUGACCAACGCGGAAGGCACCACCGGCGACGUGGAUGCGAUCGGGACGAGCGCAGACGGCCAUCAGUCACAGCGGCAGACAAACCCAAUGCACGAGCCAGGUGGCGUCAUGCCAUCACCGCGCAACGGCAUCAGCAGCCGACUCGCAAGCGCGCGGCGCUACACGCAGCAGCAGAUCCUCGACAACGACUCGGAAUGGUGCGACGCAGGAACCUUUCGCUCCUCGCGCUCCACCACGGCCCAGAGCACACCAUCCCUGCAGCCGUGCUUGCCGCCGCCGUCGCUGCAGUUCUUUGAGGAAGACGAGCUGGAUGACGACGGACGGGCUAGCCUGCUCACAUGCAGCUCCAUGGCAGCUCGACGAUCGUACACGGCGCGCUUUCGGCCCGAGUCAACGCCGCCUUCGGUGCAGACGACGCCGAACAUGCUUCCCGCCUACUCGGCCCCCUACGCCCGCAGCGACAACGGGGGGAUGCUGUCGCUGCCGCCGUCAACCUCAGCGGUUGGUCGCAUGUCGCUCCAACAGCAGCAGCAGCUCACGUCGUCCGCGAAGCCUUUCUCGGGGGCGCGGACCGCGUGCGGCUCGGCCACGUCGCCGCUAGAAGGAUCCGCGCUGCCGCCGACCCUCACACCAGCCGCGCCUGAAUCGGGGCUCUCUUUGUCGAAAGCCACGCCACCAACCGUCGUGGACGACACGCAGCAGCAGGAGACACGGGCAGCCCUUUCCGCUGGCGCGCCGCAGCCGCUCGCCCUCACGGACGAGGAGAAGAAGGAGCUGCGUCGACUGAGUCGGCGCGUCGCGGAGCUGUACAGCCGGCGCGGCCUCCUGCUGCAGCAGGCAGACCGACUUCUCUGCCGCCACGCUCAGCAGCACGAGCGGUGGGAAGGCAACGAGGAGCGCCGCGGGUGCUACCGCUGCCGGCGACUCUUUUCGUACCUCACCCGCCGCCACCACUGCCGCCGCUGCGGUCGCCUGUGCUGCGCCGAGUGCAGCCGGUAUGUUGGCAAGAAGCAGGACACGUCCUACGUGGCGGCGCCGCAGGAUACGGGGCGCGCCUCCGUCGGUGUGGAGCACCGGGUGAUCAUCAAGUCCGAGUACACCGCCCACAUCACCGCCGAAGACACGCAUGAGCUGGUGGAGGAACGUUUCGACGAGCACACAUACCCGCGUCGCGGCUACGGCGGCGCAGGCGACUCGCCCAACUUGCAGCCGGAGAAAGAGGCGGAGGUACAGGACACUGUCCUGGUGCUGGACGACGAUGGGCAGCUGCGCGACCCGUCCUUGGAGCACACCGAGGACGCGGCCGACAAACUUCACGGCCGCUCGAGGCAGCACAAGUGGGUCCGCGUCUGCGCACCGUGCUACCAAAACUGCCUCCGCGCGCGACGCAACAACGUGCUGCAGCACCUGAAGAGCGCCAACCUGUGCAUCCUCGAUGACGGCUUCUACUACUACCACGUGAUGACCACCGAGGAGCUGUGCCGGCUUUCUACCGCCCUGAACAAGCCAGACUCUUUUAAGAAGCAGGUGGAGCUGAUGUCGCAUGUUGUGGUGGAGCGCUCCGCCGACUACGUUGCGGCGGCGCCAGGGUACAGCGCCCACACCCUCACUGCAGCGGCGCAGCACACACCCGACGUCCUGCGGACGCUUGGCAGCAUCAGUGCCUACGCCUUCCGCUCUGCACGGCAGACAGCCAACGACUACGUUGGUGGCUACUUCGCUGGGAGUCGGACCAUACUGCCUGACAACCACAUGGACACAGCGGCGACAGCGCACUCCCUCUCAGCCGGCAACGAGGCAGAUGGCGGCGGCAGAGACGACGACAACGAUGAGGCGCGCAGCGAGGUAUCGCUGAUGUCCGUAGAUGACGCGUGUAGUGAUAUGCAGGCUCCGCUCAAGGGCGGCACGGAAGACAAUGCAUACGAGCACGAGGAUAGGCCGGACAAGAACACGGACGAGGAUGCUCGGACGGAGGACCCCUGUGACGACGGCCCCAUCGAUGUACAAACAUAGCCGACAACAACAAAAAAGCAAAAGAAGAAAAACGCAGCAGCGGGACUGCCGCCACGCCCAUCUCGCUGAGGCGUGGCGAAGAAACAGAGACGAUAAAAAAAAAGAGUUGAAAUCCAUAAAUCAUACAAGAAAAAAAAAUGAGUAUGUGCGUAACGUUAGUGAAGUUGACAGAAGCGUUCCUAUUAUUUCCUUUUCAUCUGUGUCUGCGCUUCACACUCCACCUCCCUCCCCCUCUCUCCCGCUUUUCCUCUUCCUACACCUUCCUUUCCCCCCUGCGCCCCGGUGUGUGUGUGUGCCCCUUGCUUGAUUGUUUUUUCGUGUGUGCGAGUGAGUGUGUGUGUGUGUGUGUGUGUGCCGUUCAGUCUUUCUGUUUGGUUCUUUACCUACUGCUUCUUUUUUGUUGCGAGCACCCUUGCUUUGGUUUGUGGUGCUUGCACUGUUGCUGAUCCAUUAGCUCUUCCUUGCUGCUCGUUGAAUGCUUCUACUCCUUGCCCAUUUCCAUGCGUGUCCUGAACGCGUACCUUUUCUUAUUUGACAUCCUCUGCUGGUGCUACUUAGCACGCGUGCUGCUCGUCUCCUGGUGUGAAUGUAUGCAGGGCCCUGAAGGCUUGACGGGCGUGACGCGCACGCAUAUGUGCGUCCUCCUCUCUUCGUCAAUCCGCUUAGGUGUUUGCGUGUUGCACUUGUCUGUUUGUUGUUUGUACACGUAUGCUUGAGUGUUGGUGGUCGGUGCUGUUGUUUACUUGCUCUUUUCCACCAUUCCUCUCCGCCUGCCUCUCACUCGCGGGUGUGCUGUACUGCCCCGCGUUACAUAGCGAUGGCGUACGGGUACGAAUCACACCCGCCUCAUGGCGUUAAGAUUCGUUGCCUCCUGUUCCUACGUAUCUCAGCCACCGAACUCUGGAGAACACGAAGCACCGAA
This 4872-nucleotide unclassified non-coding RNA is filed under the name Leishmania donovani. Its description in RNAcentral is "gene:LdHU3.19.1140(CDS-product:FYVE_zinc_finger_c ontaining_protein_putative)". Lineage: Eukaryota; Euglenozoa; Kinetoplastea; Trypanosomatida; Trypanosomatidae. The record is from RNAcentral.